Molecule: long non-coding RNA, 2070 nt
Filed under: Sorghum bicolor (sorghum)
Lineage: Eukaryota; Viridiplantae; Streptophyta; Magnoliopsida; Poales; Poaceae
Description: long non-coding RNA (SBIC_LNC004183)
Source: RNAcentral
GUGGUGCGCCCAACCUUGUCUAGCAUUGCUCAGUUCAUUUUCAGUGACGUAACUGGCCAAAACUAUGCUGAAUUCAGCCGCCACACUUGGCAUGGACAAGGACUUGGCGUGGCGUGACGUGGUAUUAAACCAAACAUGCUCUAAUUUUCACGGUUGGCAAGCCUUAUGUUAUCUGCUACGUGGCGUGGCGUGGUAUUAAACCAAACAUGCUCUAAUUUUCCACUCCUAUACACUAUGGGUUACAAGCGUGAGCUUGCGAUGUGGGUGCUUAAAGUACAAGGAGUCCUAUAUACGUGGGUGCUACACCGUAUGGGUAUAUAUAUGUAAAAUGAUACCCAUCAACCUAUUCGCUUGGCUGCUGAAAGUAUUGUUCGCUCAUUUGUUGUGAUAGAAAAAUAUUGUUAAAUGCCUGGUAGAUUAGGUAGAUAAUCUCAAGCGAAUAGUGGUAGGUUUUUGUCCUACUUGUAGCUAACCUAACAUGUUGUGAUCCUUUGCUAACCAUAUAAUUGUGAGGCAUGAGGUGGUAAUAUAUGGAUCAACUCAUUGAUCGACUUCCCCGUACCAAACAAAAUGUGAUUGGAAAUGUGAUGAAUCCCAUUCCUCGAACCCUUUUAGUGAGGGUUUCAACUUUUGAAAGUACAAAUUUUUUUCAACUAGGUUAAUGCUCGUAUGUUGUUAUGGGUUUUAAAAUCCACGUACUCUAUGUUUCUUCAUGGUUAUUUUUUUUGUCUAUAUUCUUCCUUUUUCAUUUCUUUUCAGUUUUCGUUUUUUGAUUUUAUUUUAUUUCCUGUUGUUUCCUUAUUCUUUUCUUGUUUUAAUUUUACCUUUUAUUUCCUUUUUCUUUUGGUUUUAGUUUUAUUGUUCUUCCUUGCUUCUAUUUGUUUUUGUUUUUGUUUUUUCUUUUUAGGUUUUCUAUGUUUCUUCAUUCUUAUUUUAUAUUUUAAUUUAUUUUAAUCUUUUUUAUCCUUAUUUAAAUUAUUCAUUUAUUUUAUUUGCUCUAUGCACUUUUUAUCAUUUGUUAAUCAUGUUUGUUUUUAUAUUUUUCUUCUUAGUAAUUUUAUUUUUUAUUUUUAUUUUCUAUAUAUAUGCGAUGUUUAUGUAGUAUAUAUUUAGUGUUCUAUGUUGUGUUAUGUCAUGUUUACAUAGUAUGCAUGUGAUGUUCUAUGAUGUUUCUUAUGGUGUUCACUUAGUAUACAUGUAAUCUAUAAUAGAUGUGAUGUUCUAUAAUAUAUUUAAUGAUAUUCUAUGAUGUAUUUAGUGAUGUUAAUAUUCUAUAAAUAUAUUUACGAUAUUUGAAAAGUAACCCUUUGACAUUAUUUGAAAUUUUUCUCUAUUUUGUGUUUUUAAUUUUUUGUUAUGCUUUUUACUCUAGAUUUUAUUAUUAUUUUAUCUAUGUCAUGUAUUUAUGUAUUUUUAUGUAUAUUGUAAUAUCAGUUUCAUAAACCUAAAACCAAAAUACUAUUCUUCUAAAACGAUAAUAUUUUUUUACAAAGACAGAACAUUGUCUGUUGAACCUAGAAUAUUGUCUCUACUUAAUAAAAGAAAAUAUUUUAUCUUUAUAAGAUAAAUAUUCAUUAAUAAAAUUUUAUCUAAAUAUAUCCAUGUGUGAUCUUGUUUUAAAGGAUUUGUUAUAAGAAAUUUAAUGGUGCAUAUCUUCGGUUUAUGAGUUAUGAUUUUUUUUAAUUUGCUAAAUCAAUUUUGCAUGUAUAGGUGAGUGGGGUCUGGGUUGAUGGUAUAGCCUAUCAUGACACACUAAAAGGGAAGUUGUGGCUUCACCAUGAAUGUGGUAGAUGAGUCCUCUCUAUAAUUUUUAGUUGUAGAGAUUGAGGUUCCAAUUUAGUAGUUCUUACAUUCAAAUUGAAGACCUCGAUCAAAUGAUUGUCGAAACUUUAACGAAUUCAAGGAGUUUUCUUAAAGAAAGACUCAAAGAUAAGAGCUCAUAAAUGCCCACUUUAGCAUUUUCACAAUUUUAGCUAUAAAAUUCCUCUUCAACAAUACCUCCAAAGGCAAGAUUCAUUAUCCUACUUAGUGGGAGUAUACGAUUAAUUCCUGCAAAUUUACGUGAACUGC